GAUGAACGCUAGCUACAGGCUUAACACAUGCAAGUCGAGGGGAAACGGCAUCGAAAGCUUGCUUUUGAUGGGCGUCGACCGGCGCACGGGUGAGUAACGCGUAUCCAACCUGCCCAUCACUUGGGAAUAACCUUGCGAAAGUAAGACUAAUGCCCAAUGACAUCCCACGAAGGCAUCCGAAUGGGAUUAAAGAUUUAUCGGUGAUGGAUGGGGAUGCGUCUGAUUAGCUUGUUGGCGGGGUGACGGCCCACCAAGGCAACGAUCAGUAGGGGUUCUGAGAGGAAGGUCCCCCACAUUGGAACUGAGACCCGGUCCAAACUCCUACGGGAGGCAGCAGUGAGGAAUAUUGGUCAAUGGGCGAGAGCCUGAACCAGCCAAGUAGCGUGCAGGAUGACGGCCCUAUGGGUUGUAAACUGCUUUUAUAAGGGAAUAAAGUGGGUCACGUGUGACUUUUUGCAUGUACCUUAUGAAUAAGGACCGGCUAAUUCCGUG
This 492-nucleotide ribosomal RNA is filed under the name uncultured bacterium. RNAcentral describes it as "partial 16S ribosomal RNA". It matches the Rfam family "Bacterial small subunit ribosomal RNA", at positions 28 to 507 of the family's 1533-position model. The record is from RNAcentral.